Molecule: long non-coding RNA, 834 nt
Organism: Brienomyrus brachyistius
Lineage: Eukaryota; Metazoa; Chordata; Actinopteri; Osteoglossiformes; Mormyridae
Exons: 2
Source: RefSeq, a predicted model, not a curated record
UCAUUGCCUCCCCACUAUUACAGCAAACUACUGCCAAAUACACCCUUUAAAUUGUUUAUAUGCCUUCCCGUAUACUUCAAAAUUGUGCUGAAUUCAGUUCUUUUGAUUGCCAUUAAGUGAGUUGGCUAUAUUGGACAUCGAUCUGUUACCAUGACUCUGUUUGGCCGCGUAUCGAAGACUGCAUGGUGUCCAAACAGGAUGUACAAGACGACAUCGGGGCUGCCUUGAGACAAACGCUAACCUCGAAGGAAGACGAAAAUAACCAUACGGUUCCUGUAUCCGACGAGGCUAAAUUCCAACUCGAAAGCAUAUUUGUUUGAAACUGCUUCAGGCUCUAUUAAGAUACAUCCUAGUUAUUGUCAUUCAUAUUCAUAUUAAUUAAUGAUAUUUUUAAUUGAUAUUUAAAUGUAUGGUCCCUAUUACUAAAGUUUAAUAUAGGUCUAAAUGAAGUGGUAAUAUUUUAGGCCAUUAGUGUUACAGUACAAAACCAAACAAAGUCGUAAGUACAUUUUAUUUAAUUCCCAGAGUAGAAUUCAGGCAUGCAGUAUCUUGACUGUUUGAACGAGGAUAUGAGUUUGUUCACCACUAUUUUCUGUUAAAAAAAAACUAUAAAAGAAAACGCACAUCAAUAAUUUCCACAGUGUGUUUCGCAGGUGUAACCAAAGCCAUAUGCUAGCAUUACAUUUUUUUUUCAUAGAAAAUGCCUCAGCUAUUGCUCAAGGCACUGUGCUCUGUGAUGUUUAAUAGAACUCUGAACUGAAUUUCAGCUUUAUUGUAUUUCAAGGUACAACAAUUUAAUUGUCGAAUUACAAAUUGUCAGUAUUUAUAAAAUAA